This 61-nucleotide transfer RNA is filed under the name Metaperipatus inae. RNAcentral describes it as "tRNA-Asp". Lineage: Eukaryota; Metazoa; Onychophora; Udeonychophora; Euonychophora; Peripatopsidae. The record is from RNAcentral.
GGGGUUGAGAAUAAGUAUAUAUUAUUAUUCAUAUAAAUAUAGGUAUAUUUUACUAAUUCCC